GGGAGAUGCAUUCACUUCCUUUUGAGUUCAUAAACAGUGAAUAAAUUCUAGAUAAUAAAGCAGCUUGUGAAACAAUGAUUUCCCAUAUCCCUGAGGGAAGAGACUGUGUAAUUCAUCUUUGCAUCUCCCAUAACAUCUAACACAAAGCACAGUACAUUGGAGCUGGAGACAUAGAAUAUAUUGAAUCUGAAAAUUGAAAUAAAAGAAAAUUUUAUAAAAAUUGAGGUGAUUAUUUUGGCUAUCCAGAGAACACAAGUGGUAUUUAUCCUGAACCAUAGCGGAGAAGUAGGAUGGAAUUCAGGAAAAUGGGAAGAGAGCCCUGGAUUGAGAAGAGGCUAGGGGCUGAGGCAGAGUUAAAAAGAACAGAGGACACUUCUACGCCAAACUCAAGAUUCUGAGGCACAGGAAGCUGAAACUCUCUACCUCUCACUAUCCACCUGAUGCAGUUUGUCACCUUUAUCAAUCCUGACAGCUCUAGUAAAGCAGUGAAACAGGAUGUUAACGUCAAGGUCUCCGCCAAGAUACCAUGAUACAAUAGAAGCUGCAUGCCCAAGUGAGGUGCCAGAGCAGCACACACAGUCUCCUCACCCAUGGACUCUUCACCCAGGGUUCCUGACACCACUUGAAGGUUCCAGAACAGUAUUGGGCCUGCCUGGGUCAAAGAUUUCAUCCAGGCACAAGGACAAAAUUUACCUUGCUGUUUAUUCAGCAGUGAGAGACACAAAUAAGAUUAUGUUUUUCUUAUAACCUACAAGUCAUUUUUGUCUUAAGAUUCCCUUUAUGUAGUCGGGUAGUUUGGGUUGAAUUUAAGAGGGUUGUCUUGAAAGCGUAUUGGACCACUCGCAAAGAUGACAAACAGGAGAUGAAGGAUGAGAUUGUGAUGUCACGGUCUCAGGCACAGGAAAGGGCUCCACGUCUUAGUGAAGUCAGGGAACCAGGUCACGCUGCCAUCCUCACACUGCAGGCUGUAGAGACCUGGGAAGGAAGCCCAUAGCUCUU
RNAcentral lists this long non-coding RNA (999 nucleotides) under Equus caballus (horse). RNAcentral describes it as "lncRNA (ENSECAG00000055421.1)". The record is from RNAcentral. Lineage: Eukaryota; Metazoa; Chordata; Mammalia; Perissodactyla; Equidae.